Molecule: ribosomal RNA, 253 nt
Filed under: uncultured bacterium
Lineage: Bacteria
Description: partial 16S ribosomal RNA
Rfam family: Bacterial small subunit ribosomal RNA
Source: RNAcentral
GACGAACCGUGCGAACGUUGUUCGGAUUCACUGGGCUUAAAGGGCGCGUAGGCGGCGGCUCAAGUCGGGGGUGAAAUCCUCUCGCUUAACGAGAGAAUUGCUUUCGAUACUGGGUCGCUGGAGGGAGAUAGGGGUGCGCGGAACUUCCGGUGGAGCGGUGAAAUGCGUAGAUAUCGGAAGGAACGCCGGUGGCGAAAGCGGCGCACUGGAUCUCUUCUGACGCUGAGGCGCGAAAGCGUGGGGAGCGAACAGG